This 237-nucleotide unclassified non-coding RNA is filed under the name plant metagenome. RNAcentral describes it as "partial contains small subunit ribosomal RNA, internal transcribed spacer 1, and 5.8S ribosomal RNA". The record is from RNAcentral.
UUUCCGUAGGUGAACCUGCGGAAGGAUCAUUAAUGAGAACUAAGGGUAGUAGUCUCGGCUACUACUCUGAACACUCCACCCUUUGUUUAUAUUACCUUUGUUGCUUUAGCAGGCCCGCUCUCGAGCCGCCGGCACCUGCUGGCUAGUGCCUGCUAAAGAACCUAAAACUCUUGUUAAUAAUAUUGUCUGAGUACUAUAUAAUAGUUAAAACUUUCAACAACGGAUCUCUUGGUUCUG